CUGUAUUUUAAGUUUAAUAUAAAUUACGAAGUGAUUUUCAAGCUGUAACUUAAUAUUGAUUCAAUUGACCAAUGAGAGAACUCGAAGAGUAGGUAUGAUAUCCACAUCACGCUACAGCUAUUGAUCAGCCAAGUUCUAUGACAAGUUAACAAUUUGUCAGCAAAUAAAAGUACUUUAUUUUGACCCAAGAUUUUAUGUAAAAGAGAGUAAUAAGACAGUAAAAUCUGUAUAACAUAUAUGAUGAAAUUUAUAUUUAUUUUCGGAGUAUUCCUACUGAUUAAUAAUAGAAAUGUAUUUGCUGCAGUGUCAUGUGACACGCCGGAUUCUGUUUUACUGAGUUGUGCUAAUCCGUGUACCAUACCUUUAUGUCCAGAAGAGGACAUAAAAAGAAAAAAGAUCUGCAAAACCAUUCAUUAUGAAUGUUCUCCUCUUGAAAAAUGUUAUUGUGGUGAAGGUUUUAAAGAAACAGAAGAAGGAAAAUGUCAGCCUUGCUGAAAAAUCAAAGCUAUAUCUCAAUUCUUAAACUUGUAUAUCCUAUAUAAGUUGCAUUAUCGUCUAGUUGAUUUAUACUUUAAAUCUUCUUGAUAAUUUUAACCAUAAAGUAGUCUUUACUCAUUAAAAACAUAUUCUAAAUGUAAUUCAUUCUGGUAAAAUGUACUUUGUAAUAAUCAAAUAAUUAAUAAAAUUAAAUUUCAAAAUUUUAACAUAAAGUGUAAAUAGGUUUACAU
This 728-nucleotide long non-coding RNA is filed under the name Androctonus crassicauda. Lineage: Eukaryota; Metazoa; Arthropoda; Arachnida; Scorpiones; Buthidae. The record is from RNAcentral.